This 595-nucleotide ribosomal RNA is filed under the name unidentified microorganism. RNAcentral's name for it is "bacterial SSU rRNA". It matches the Rfam family "Bacterial small subunit ribosomal RNA", at positions 82 to 692 of the family's 1533-position model. The record is from RNAcentral.
CGGGGGUACACGAGUGGCGAACGGGUGAGUAACACGUGGGUAAUCUGCCCUGCACUUCGGGAUAAGCCUGGGAAACCGGGUCUAAUACCGGAUAUGAGCUCCUGCCGCAUGGUGGGGGUUGGAAAGUUUUUCGGUGCAGGAUGAGUCCGCGGCCUAUCAGCUUGUUGGUGGGGUAAUGGCCUACCAAGGCGACGACGGGUAGCCGGCCUGAGAGGGUGAUCGGCCACACUGGGACUGAGACACGGCCCAGACUCCUACGGGAGGCAGCAGUGGGGAAUAUUGCACAAUGGGCGAAAGCCUGAUGCAGCGACGCCGCGUGGGGGAUGACGGUCUUCGGAUUGUAAACUCCUUUCAGUAGGGACGAAGCGAAAGUGACGGUACCUGCAGAAGAAGCACCGGCCAACUACGUGCCAGCAGCCGCGGUAAUACGUAGGGUGCAAGCGUUGUCCGGAAUUACUGGGCGUAAAGAGCUCGUAGGCGGUUUGUCACGUCGUCUGUGAAAUCCUCCAGCUCAACUGGGGGCGUGCAGGCGAUACGGGCAGACUUGAGUACUACAGGGGAGACUGGAAUUCCUGGUGUAGCGGUGAAAUGCGCA